Molecule: ribosomal RNA, 767 nt
Filed under: Limosilactobacillus fermentum
Lineage: Bacteria; Bacillati; Bacillota; Bacilli; Lactobacillales; Lactobacillaceae
Description: bacterial SSU rRNA
Rfam family: Bacterial small subunit ribosomal RNA
Source: RNAcentral
AUUGAUUGAUGGUGCUUGCACCUGAUUGAUUUUGGUCGCCAACGAGUGGCGGACGGGUGAGUAACACGUAGGUAACCUGCCCAGAAGCGGGGGACAACAUUUGGAAACAGAUGCUAAUACCGCAUAACAACGUUGUUCGCAUGAACAACGCUUAAAAGAUGGCUUCUCGCUAUCACUUCUGGAUGGACCUGCGGUGCAUUAGCUUGUUGGUGGGGUAACGGCCUACCAAGGCGAUGAUGCAUAGCCGAGUUGAGAGACUGAUCGGCCACAAUGGGACUGAGACACGGCCCAUACUCCUACGGGAGGCAGCAGUAGGGAAUCUUCCACAAUGGGCGCAAGCCUGAUGGAGCAACACCGCGUGAGUGAAGAAGGGUUUCGGCUCGUAAAGCUCUGUUGUUAAAGAAGAACACGUAUGAGAGUAACUGUUCAUACGUUGACGGUAUUUAACCAGAAAGUCACGGCUAACUACGUGCCAGCAGCCGCGGUAAUACGUAGGUGGCAAGCGUUAUCCGGAUUUAUUGGGCGUAAAGAGAGUGCAGGCGGUUUUCUAAGUCUGAUGUGAAAGCCUUCGGCUUAACCGGAGAAGUGCAUCGGAAACUGGAUAACUUGAGUGCAGAAGAGGGUAGUGGAACUCCAUGUGUAGCGGUGGAAUGCGUAGAUAUAUGGAAGAACACCAGUGGCGAAGGCGGCUACCUGGUCUGCAACUGACGCUGAGACUCGAAAGCAUGGGUAGCGAACAGGAUUAGAUACCCUGGUAGUCCAUGCCG